RNAcentral lists this ribosomal RNA (491 nucleotides) under uncultured bacterium. Its description in RNAcentral is "partial 16S ribosomal RNA". It matches the Rfam family "Bacterial small subunit ribosomal RNA", at positions 29 to 507 of the family's 1533-position model. The record is from RNAcentral.
GUGAACGCUGGCGGUAGGCCUAACACAUGUAAGUCGAACGGCAGCACAGUAAGAGCUUGCUCUUCCGGGUGGCGAGUGGCGGACGGGUGAGGAAUACAUCGGAAUCUACUUUUUCGUGGGGGAUAACGUAGGGAAACUUACGCUAAUACCGCAUACGACCUACGGGUGAAAGCAGGGGAUCUUCGGACCUUGCGCGAUUGAAUGAGCCGAUGUCGGAUUAGCUAGUUGGCGGGGUAAAGGCCCACCAAGGCGACGAUCCGUAGCUGGUCUGAGAGGAUGAUCAGCCACACUGGAACUGAGACACGGUCCAGACUCCUACGGGAGGCGGCAGUGGGGAAUAUUGGACAAUGGGCGCAAGCCUGAUCCAGCCAUACCGCGUGAGUGAAGAAGGCCUUCGGGUUGUAAAGCCCUUUUGUUGGGAAAGAAAAGCAGCAGGUUAAUACCCCGCUGUUCUGACGGUACACAAAGAAUAAGCACCGGCUAACUUCGUG